AGAGUUUGAUCAUGGCUCAGGAUAACGCUAGCGAUAGGCCUAACACAUGCAAGUCGAGGGGCCACGCAAGUGGCGACCGGCGCACGGGUGAGUAACGCGUAUGCAACCUACCUACAACAGGGGGAUAACCCGUUGAAAGACGGACUAAUACCCCAUAACAGGGGUCCCGCAUGGGGAUUUGUUAAAGAUUAAUCGGUUGUAGAUGGGCAUGCGUUCCAUUAGCUGGUUGGUGAGGUAACGGCUCACCAAGGCAACGAUGGAUAGGGGAACUGAGAGGUUUAUCCCCCACACUGGUACUGAGACACGGACCAGACUCCUACGGGAGGCAGCAGUGAGGAAUAUUGGUCAAUGGACGCAAGUCUGAACCAGCCACGUCGCGUGAAGGCGGUACGUUGACUUCUUUUGUAAGGGCGUGACCUUACGAAUAAGGAUCGGCAACUCCGUGCCAGCAGCCGCGGUAAUACGGAGGAUCCGAGCGUUAUCCGGAUUUAUUGGGUUUAAAGGGUGCGCAGGCGGGAGAUUAAGUCGGCGGUGAAAUUUUGCAGCUCAACUGUAAAAGUGCCAUCGAUACUGGUUUUCUUGAGUGUGGAUGAAGUAGGCGGAAUUUGUGGUGUAGCGGUGAAAUGCAUAGAUAUCACAAGGAACACCGAUUGCGCAGGCAGCUUACUAAACCUAACUGACGCUCAGGCACGAAGGCGUGGGGAGCAAACAGGAUUAGAUACCCUGGUAGUCCACGCAGUAAACGAUGAUUACUAGCUGUUUGCGAUACAGUAAGCGGCUGAGCGAAAGCGUUAAGUAAUCCACCUGGGGAGUACGUUCGCAAGAAUGAAACUCAAAGGAAUUGACGGGGGCCCGCACAAGCGGAGGAACAUGUGGUUUAAUUCGAUGAUACGCGAGGAACCUUACCCGGGCAAAUGAUCUGACCGGCCUUGAAAGAGGUUUUUUCGCAGAUUGAGGUGCUGCAUGGUUGUCGUCAGCUCGUGCCGUGAGGUGUCGGCUUAAGUGCCAUAACGAGCGCAACCCUCAUCAUUAGUUACCAUCAGGUAAGGCUGGGGACUCUAAUGAGACUGCCAUCGUAAGAUGAGGAAGGUGGGGAUGACGUCAAAUCAGCACGGCCCUUACGUCCGGGGCGACACACGUGUUACAAUGGGUGGUACAAAGGGCAGCUACCUGGCGACAGGAUGCUAUCUCCAAAACCACUCUCAGUUCGGAUCGGAGUCUGCAACUCGACUCCGUGAAGCUGGAUUCGCUAGUAAUCGCGCAUCAGCCACGGCGCGGUGAAUACGUUCCCGGGCCUUGCACACACCCCCGUC
This 1313-nucleotide ribosomal RNA is filed under the name uncultured Bacteroidota bacterium. RNAcentral's name for it is "bacterial SSU rRNA". It matches the Rfam family "Bacterial small subunit ribosomal RNA". Lineage: Bacteria; Pseudomonadati; Bacteroidota. The record is from RNAcentral.